GGCGACGCCCUCCUCUCCGCCCCUCCCCGCGCCGCCGGCGCCGGGGGCGACAGGUGCAGCUUCAGGUCCAGGGCGCCCCGGCUCAUCGCUGCUGCCUGCAAUCAUAUCCACCAAGCACACAUGAGCAAGCCGCAGGUGUGCUCCUCUGCUUCCUCUGAGGAGUGAGGAGGGCUCUUGGUGUGGGGAAGAAGAAGAGCUUGGCAGCAAGUAUUUAUAGCCAAGCCCAAGCCAUGGAGGUCAAUUGGUUUUCUUAAAUGCCGCACUGUUGAGGAGUACUUGCAUCUUGGCUAAUCGGCCAUAUUAUACUCCACCCUAAACACACUCACUCGUCACUUCAUUGCCCACA
This is a long non-coding RNA of Panicum virgatum (switchgrass), 346 nucleotides long. RefSeq lists it as uncharacterized. NCBI's taxonomy places the organism in Eukaryota, Viridiplantae, Streptophyta, Magnoliopsida, Poales, Poaceae. The record is from RefSeq and is a predicted model, not a curated record. The transcript has 2 exons.